CUGACAUAGCAGGCAGACUCAGAAUAUAAACAGGAAAUCACUCUCUUGCUCUUGCUCUUCCUCCUGCUCUCUGCUCUGAAGCCGCCAUGUGAUCCCAGGAAGAUGACGCCAGCGGAAGGAGUCCUCUGACAUGGCUGCUGCACUCGUGAAAUUACAGCAGCUGUGGUUAUCUACACAAGGCCUGCAUAAGAUCGAGCCAGUCAACAUUCCAACGGUGGAUGGAAGAGAGGAUCAUAGGCCUCACCUCUAGCUGAGGAACUAUUGAGGGCAGAUAAUGGCUGAAGGAAGGCUGACAGUGAAGAUGUGAUAGAAACAGAUGUGCUAAAGAUCCACUUGAUGCCCCAUGUCAACUGAAUGAGCUUGGAGAUCAGUGGCAGCAUCAUGAGGUGCUCCAGUGCCUGGUACUCAUAGCUGGCUCAGAGUGUAAAGAGAAAUAUAACUAUUGCUUUACUAUUGCCUUCCAAAUAGCACUUCAUAAUCAUGAAAACAUUCUCUUUUCAUAUUAUCUUAAAUAAUUAAUAUUUUGCACUCAAUUUAGAUCUACAACCAGGAAUGGAUUUCUGUAUCUUGUUUAAGACAAUACUUGUCCCAUCUUGAUAUUUAUUUGGUUCCACUUGCUGUUAAAAAAGAAUACUCUUCCCCUAGACACAUGGCUUUGACAUCCAUAUAAUAAGAGUGGUAUCCACUAUGUAUACAGGUAAUCUACUCUACAUGCCAUGGGUAGCAUAGAACUUGUUUACUAUACUUUAAUAACUCUUGAAGUCUAGUAUUAGAAGUCUAGCAAAAUUAUUGUCCUUUGUCUUUUGGUACUUAGCCUUUUUGUAUAUAUUUUAGAAUUCUUUUGAAAGUCACUGCGAAACAUGUUGUUGAAAUUUUGACAUGGCUGCAUCAAAUCUAUAGGACAACCUGUUGAGAACUGAUAUUUUUUUGAAUACUGAAAACUCUGUGAUUCAUGAAUGUGGCGUGUUCCACGGUUUAUCUAGGUUUAUCUAAGUUUUCUGCAAUGUCUCCCAAUAUAACUAUGCAAUAAACUGUUUAGAAUACACA
Molecule: non-coding RNA, 1047 nt
Organism: Cricetulus griseus (Chinese hamster)
Lineage: Eukaryota; Metazoa; Chordata; Mammalia; Rodentia; Cricetidae
Source: RefSeq, a predicted model, not a curated record